CGUCCGUCGUGAAGAGGGAAACAACCCAGACCGCCAGCUAAGGUCCCAAAGUCAUGGUUAAGUGGGAAACGAUGUGGGAAGGCCCAGACAGCCAGGAUGUUGGCUUAGAAGCAGCCAUCAUUUAAAGAAAGCGUAAUAGCUCACUGGUCGAGUCGGCCUGCGCGGAAGAUGUAACGGGGCUAAACCAUGCACCGAAGCUGCGGCAGCGACACUAUGUGUUGUUGGGUAGGGGAGCGUUCUGUAAGCCUGUGAAGGUGUGCUGUGAGGCAUGCUGGAGGUAUCAGAAGUGCGAAUGCUGACAUAAGUAACGAUAAAGCGGGUGAAAAGCCCGCUCGCCGGAAGACCAAGGGUUCCUGUCCAACGUUAAUCGGGGCAGGGUGAGUCGACCCCUAAGGCGAGGCCGAAAGGCGUAGUCGAUGGGAAACAGGUUAAUAUUCCUGUACUUGGUGUUACUGCGAAGGGGGGACGGAGAAGGCUAUGUUGGCCGGGCGACGGUUGUCCCGGUUUAAGCGUGUAGGCUGGUUUUCCAGGCAAAUCCGGAAAAUCAAGGCUGAGGCGUGAUGACGAGGCACUACGGUGCUGAAGCAACAAAUGCCCUGCUUCCAGGAAAAGCCUCUAAGCAUCAGGUAACAUCAAAUCGUACCCCAAACCGACACAGGUGGUCAGGUAGAGAAUACCAAGGCGCUUGAGAGAACUCGGGUGAAGGAACUAGGCAAAAUGGUGCCGUAACUUCGGGAGAAGG
Molecule: ribosomal RNA, 742 nt
Filed under: Escherichia coli
Lineage: Bacteria; Pseudomonadati; Pseudomonadota; Gammaproteobacteria; Enterobacterales; Enterobacteriaceae
Description: partial 23S ribosomal RNA
Rfam family: Bacterial large subunit ribosomal RNA
Source: RNAcentral